GCGUCCGUUGUCUAGGGGUUAUGAUGGAUCCCUGCCACGGAUCCGGCCCGGGUUCGAAUCCCGGCGGACGCACCA
This 75-nucleotide transfer RNA is filed under the name Candidatus Thorarchaeota archaeon. Its description in RNAcentral is "tRNA-Gly". It matches the Rfam family "tRNA". From Rfam's summary of the family: Transfer RNA (tRNA) molecules are approximately 80 nucleotides in length. The record is from RNAcentral. Lineage: Archaea; Promethearchaeati; Candidatus Thorarchaeota.